GGCGGACGGGUGAGUAAUGCCUAGGAAUCUGCCUGGUAGUGGGGGAUAACGUUCGGAAACGGACGCUAAUACCGCAUACGUCCUACGGGAGAAAGCAGGGGACCUUCGGGCCUUGCGCUAUCAGAUGAGCCUAGGUCGGAUUAGCUAGUUGGUGAGGUAAUGGCUCACCAAGGCGACGAUCCGUAACUGGUCUGAGAGGAUGAUCAGUCACACUGGAACUGAGACACGGUCCAGACUCCUACGGGAGGCAGCAGUGGGGAAUAUUGGACAAUGGGCGAAAGCCUGAUCCAGCCAUGCCGCGUGUGUGAAGAAGGUCUUCGGAUUGUAAAGCACUUUAAGUUGGGAGGAAGGGCAGUUGCCUAAUACGUAACUGUUUUGACGUUACCGACAGAAUAAGCACCGGCUAACUCUGUGCCAGCAGCCGCGGUAAUACAGAGGGUGCAAGCGUUAAUCGGAAUUACUGGGCGUAAAGCGCGCGUAGGUGGUUUGUUAAGUUGGAUGUGAAAUCCCCGGGCUCAACCUGGGAACUGCAUUCAAAACUGACUGACUAGAGUAUGGUAGAGGGUGGUGGAAUUUCCUGUGUAGCG
Molecule: ribosomal RNA, 587 nt
Filed under: Pseudomonas sp. EECC-358
Lineage: Bacteria; Pseudomonadati; Pseudomonadota; Gammaproteobacteria; Pseudomonadales; Pseudomonadaceae
Description: bacterial SSU rRNA
Rfam family: Bacterial small subunit ribosomal RNA
Source: RNAcentral